Long non-coding RNA from Juglans microcarpa x Juglans regia, 154 nucleotides. RefSeq lists it as uncharacterized. Lineage: Eukaryota; Viridiplantae; Streptophyta; Magnoliopsida; Fagales; Juglandaceae. The record is from RefSeq and is a predicted model, not a curated record. The transcript has 3 exons.
UUUUAAUAUUAUUUUUAUUUUGAGAUUUAAAAAAGUUGAAUUAAGAUUUGAAAAAGUUGAAUUAUUUAUUAUAUUUUGUAUUGAAAUUUAAAAAAAUUGUAAUUAUGAGUUGAGAUGAGUUGAUAUGAUUUUAAUUACCAAACGAAACCUUAUU